RNAcentral lists this long non-coding RNA (3784 nucleotides) under Homo sapiens (human). RNAcentral's name for it is "non-protein coding lnc-SLC25A30-2:4". Lineage: Eukaryota; Metazoa; Chordata; Mammalia; Primates; Hominidae. The record is from RNAcentral.
CUGAGAGCCAGCCCCCCGUCCCCCACAGCUUAGGACCUCCAUCAAGGAUCCUAAGAACCUUAGGACCCACCUGGAGGACUGUGGGUAUUAGGUGUCCAAGAAGAAAGCUCAAAUCUGCUGACGGCAGGUACCUUGCUUGGGAUUUACUAUCCGACAGGGGUCCGAACGCAGCCCGGGAACAGAAAGAAAGCAGGUUAUUUACAAUCUACCGGAGCCUAAGGGCAGAAGGCAGGUAAGGGAAUUCUUGGGAGCUGUGGGGUUUUGUAGACUGGAUCCCAAACUUUGCAGUAUUAGCCAAGCCUUUGUAUGAGGUCACAAAGGGGGCGGGGAACGGAACCUUUGGAAUGGGGAUCCCAAGAACAAAAAGUCUUUCAGGAGUUAAAGGAAAAACUUCUGGCAGCCCCAGCCCUGGGGCUACCCGAUCUGACAAAGCCUUUUCCAUUGAAUGCGUCAGAUAGAGAAAAGAUGGCAGCUGGACUUUUAACCGAAACUCUGGGGCCCUGGCUGAGGCCGGUGGCCUAGUUGUCUAAACAACUAGAGAGGGUUUCUAAAGGAUGGCCCCUCAUGUUUGAGGGCCGUGGCAUCAACUGCCCUGAUAGUACAAGAAGCAAAUAAGCUGACUCUUGGGCAAAACCUGAACAUAAAGGCCGCCCAUUUUGGGUUGGGUGACAGCCAUCCCCUCUUCCCCCCCUGCCUUAGGACCCCCAUCGCGUAUCCUAAGAUCCUUAGGACUCACCUGGAGGACUGUGGGUAUUAGGUGUCCAAGAAGAAAGCUCAAAUCUGCCAACGGCAGGUACCUUACUUGGGAUUUACUGGAGGACUCUGGGUAUUAGGUGUCCAAGAAGAAAGCUCAAAUCUGCCGACGGCAGGUACCUUACUUGGGAUUUACUAUCCGACAGCGGUCCAAGACAGGGGUCCAAACGCCCGGGAACAGAAAGAAAGCAGGUCAUUUGCAAUCUACCGGAGCCUAAGGGCAGAAGGCAGGUGAGGGAAUUCUUAGGGGCUGUGGGGUUUUGUAGACUGUGCAUCCCAAACUUUGCAGUAUUAGCCAAGUCUUUGUAUGAGGUCACAAAGGGGGCGGGGACCGGGAACCUUUAGAAUGGGGAUCCCAACAACAGCAAGUCUUUCAUGAGUUAAAGGAAAAACUUCUGGCAGCCCCAGCCCCGGGGCUACCAGAUCUGACAAAGCCUUUUCCAUUGAAUGCGUCAGAUAGAGAAAAGAUGGCAGCUGGAAUUUUAACCGAAACUCUGGGGCCCUGGCUGAGGCCGGUGGCCUACGUGUCUAAACAAAUAGAAAGGGUUUCUAAAGGAUGGCCCCCAUGUUUGAAGGCCACGGCAUCAACUGCCCUGCUAGUACCAGAAGCAAAUAAGCUGACUCUUGGGCAAAACCUGAACAUAAAGGCUCCCCAUUUUGUGGUGGCUGAGAGCCAGCCCCUCUUCCGCCCCAGGCUCUUAGGACCCCCAUCGCAGGGAGGGGAGGCACCCCCCACGAGGUAGGGACUGAGAGCCAGCCCCUAUUCUUGAUUUAGCCAAUUUAAGUAUGUAAAACGGGGGGAAAAAUGUGAUGACAGCCUAGUUUUAAGGCAUUGAUUUGAUUGUGUUGUAAAAAAUACAUUCUUCUUUUUCUUUUUUUGAGACGGAGUCUUGCUCUGUCACCCAGGCUGGAGUGCAGUAAGCCCAUCUCUGCUCACUGCAAGCUUACACCAUUCUCCUGCCUCAGCUUCCCUAGUAGCUGGGACUACAGAUGCUUGCCACCAUGCCCGGCUAAUUUUUUUUGUGUGUGUUUUUAGUAGAGAUGGGGUUUCACCAUGUUAGCCAGGAUGGUCUCGAUCUCCUGACCUCGUGAUCCACCCGCCUCGGCCUCCCAAAGUGCUGGGAUUACAGGCGUGAGCCACCAAGCCUGGCCAAAAAAUAUAUUCUUUCAGAAAGAUAACAUGUUUGUUCUUUCAUUCAGUCAAUAUAUAUUUAUUAGUGUUAUUGCUAUGCCAGUGUCUUAGUCCAUUCGUAUUGCUAUAAAGGAAUACCUGAGGCUGGGGUGGUGCCAUGUUGGUUAGAAUGGUGCCAUAUUUUCUGGGAUAGCACCAUGCUGGCUGGGAUGGUGCCAUGUUGGCUGGGAUGGCACCUGCCUCAGCCUCCCAAAUAGCUGGGAUUACAGGCAUCUGCCACCAUGCCUGGCUAAUUUUUUGUAUUUUUAGUAGAGAAGGGGUUUUGUCAUGUUGGCCAGGCUGGUCUAGAAUUCCUGACCUCAGGUGAUCCACCCACCUCAGCCUCCCAAAGUGGUGGGAUUACAGGCGUGAGCCACCACACCCAGCCCAGAUUUCUUUUAUCACGCUCCAUAGGCUCAAUAGCAGGAAACGUGUAGAGAUUCCUCUUGGGAACUGGUCACCAUAUCAUUUGGAUGAGCUACAGACAGACCUUCAAUCAUCCUGUAUCUUACUGUUUUGCUAUCUCUGUACACUGCAGUUAUGUGGACAUGUGUCACCUCCGCCCCACUAUCCAGAAAUGUGGGCUCCUAUGUGCAGGGCCAGAUCUGCUCCCAUGUGCAUCCUCAUCACCUGGCACCAGGCCUGCCCAUGCUAAGCCUCCAUAAAAUUGUUGGACUAAAAGGUGACAUAGGAUACUCAACUUCUCCCAGCCAUAUGUCUUCAUGAACCAAAUGGCAGUGCAGAAAGGGAAUGUUUGCAGUUUCAGUGGGCCUUUCUGAGGGCACUGCAGGGCACACUUCUCCCACCAGGCCCUUGGUGGAGGUGCAGAAUGGGGUCUCUUCAGAAGCCACUUCCAGAGCCCCUACCAAGGGUGGCUCAGAAGGUCUGGUUUUCAAUGAGUCCACUAGGGAAGUCCAUGUGUGACUGAUUCGACCUCGAUGCUUCUACUUCGCCUUCUUUCCAUCUGACUGACUCAGACCUAAUAGUAGGGUUCUAGGCUGCUCCAUGAGCCAAAUAAAUUUUCUGCUCUUAUAAAUGACUCAGUCUGUGGUCUUCUGUUAUAGUAGCACAAAACAGACUAAGACACCAUUCCAGAGAUAUGCAAAUAUUCAACUGUAGGUCUCCAAAAAUGAGAUGGCAAUUUCAAGUUCAGCUCUGACAGAAGUAACAAGAAGGUACACACAAUGAGCAGCACACACAUCUCCCACCUUCUGGGCACAUGUGGCCCACAUCUAGCCAGUCUUCCUGAGCCAGCGGGUCCCAAAGCUGUCUUUGGAUCAUUGCUUCUCCAUGACAAUUUUUGCCAGCUCUUCACUGGCCUGCAGCGUUCCUUUCAAGUAAAUUCCUGACCUGUGGGGGACAAUCUGGGCCCAGCGUGCACCCCUGGUCGCGAGGACCACAUGGCCAGAGAAGCAGAAAGGAGGCUUCAGGCACGAGAAUUUAGGUUCUUCAGCUGCCACAAGUGAAGAGCACCACUUGUAUUUUUUAUUACUACCUGCUAUGGACUGAAUUGUGUUCAGUUCAUAACACGUAGUAAUAAAAAUGUGUAGGUCGAAGCCCUAAUCCCCAGUAUGAUGGUAUUUGGAGUUGCAGGGCGGGGGGCUUUGGGAAGUGAUUAAGGAUAAGGUCAAGAGAGUGGGGUCCUCAUGAUGGGAUUAGUGGCUUUAUACCAAGAGGAAGAGAGACCAGAGUUCUCUCUCUCCCUUCCCCGCCCUCCCCCCACCUCUUUCUCUUUCUCUCUCUGCAAUGUGAGGACAUAGCAAGAAGGUGCCAUCUGCAAGACAAGCAGAGAGCAUCCUCCCCAGAAACCAUGUCUGCUGCACCUUGAUCCUCAAUUUUCCAGUAAGAAAUAAAUGUCUG